This 67-nucleotide transfer RNA is filed under the name marine eukaryotic metagenome. It matches the Rfam family "tRNA". Rfam says of the family: Transfer RNA (tRNA) molecules are approximately 80 nucleotides in length. Their secondary structure includes four short double-helical elements and three loops (D, anti-codon, and T loops). The record is from RNAcentral.
UCGGUAGCUCAGUCGGUAGAGCAGUGGACUGAAAAUCCAUGUGUCGUUGGUUCGAUUCCGACCCGAG